ACCUAAACAAAUUUAAAAAGUUAAGCUUUUAAAUAACUAUUAAAGAUAUUAUCCCCUUGUAGUGUAGUUUAAUAGCUAUCUACAUAUUAACUUUAUAUAAAGUAUAAUAGUUUAUAUUUUAUAAUAUGACGUUAACAAUUUUGUUUAAUAUUUGAAAAUGUUAGUAUUAGUAAUAUUAGUAUAUGUGCUAAAGGAACUCGGCAAAAAACCACUCAACUGUUUAUCAAAAACAUAGCUAUAUGAAUUAAUAUAUAGUUAUUUCUGCUCAAUGAUUUAAAUAGCCGCAGUACUCUGACUGUGCAAAGGUAGCAUAAUCAGUUGGCUUUUAAUUAGAGUCUGGUAUGAACGAAAAUAUGGGUAGUAACUGUCUUAGCACAUUUUUUCGAACUUAUUAAACAAGUGCAAAUGCUUGUAAUUUAACAAUAGACGAGAAGACCCUAGAAACUUGGACAAGUUUUUGUUGGGGCGACAGAAUUACACUUAACUAAUCUUAUAAUACACGACGCGAUGUUGAAAGAAUAAGUUACUCUAGGGAUAACAGCAUAAUUUCAUUAGUUUGUGACCUCGAUGUUGGACUAGGUACUAUACCCUUAAGGCAAGGAUAUAUUAUGCUCUGUUCGAGCAAAAUUACCUACAUGAUCUGAGUUCAGAC
RNAcentral lists this ribosomal RNA (652 nucleotides) under Helix pomatia (Roman snail). Its description in RNAcentral is "partial 16S ribosomal RNA". Lineage: Eukaryota; Metazoa; Mollusca; Gastropoda; Stylommatophora; Helicidae. The record is from RNAcentral.